This 1351-nucleotide long non-coding RNA is filed under the name Betta splendens (Siamese fighting fish). Its description in RNAcentral is "lncRNA (ENSBSLG00000014183.1)". Lineage: Eukaryota; Metazoa; Chordata; Actinopteri; Anabantiformes; Osphronemidae. The record is from RNAcentral.
AUGAGGAGAGACACAAAGAGGAGAAAGAGUAGAGAGACGGGAGAGAGAGAGACAGGAGAGAGAGAGACAGAUCUGCGUGUGGCAGAGGAGCAAAGACCAGACGACAAACAAGAAGUUAAAGUCGGUGGAGCUGAACGCUAUCAGGACGGAGCAGGCGGCCGCCCAGCCCACACACACACACACACACACACACACACACACACACACACACACAUGCACACACACACACACACACACACACACACACACCUAAAGAGGACGCUCCCCAGCUGUGUUGGAGCUGAGGCGCUUCGAGUGGCAGCUGUGAAGACGCGUUCCUCCUGCAGCAGCAGCACAGAGCAGGGAAGUUAGCGUGAGUCUGGGACAGAGCACAGGAAUCACAGAACCCAGAGCAGCACCAGGAGGCGGGUCAGAUGAACGGGUUUGGGCCCAGAGGAGGUUCAGCAGAGCUGGUUCUGGUUAAGGUGCUCCACACAUUCCUCACAUCACUGCCUUUAAUGGUGUAAAUUGGUUUCAGCAUCUGUUCUCCUUCCACACGUCGCCUCUAAUGACUUUCCCUGAGUGCAUGUGCAGAUGUUGACGAGCUGCUGAAUGUGGCUGCAAGAAAGAAUUCAUCGUGAAAAUGAAGUGAUAGAUUAAACGAUUCAUGAGGUCACAGAGGAAAACGAAUGGGCCCAAAGUCACUUUGUGUCUCUCUCCCAGUCUGCAUCUCAUACACCAGGUGGCCUUUUUAUUAGGAACACCUGUAGAAUGGGCCGUAAUCCAGGAGUCACUUGUAUUAAAGCUUAGUCAGGACUCAUUUACUCCCGUCUUAUUAGGAUCAACUUUACCUGUAACUGGUUGAGGUUCAGGUGUAACAGUGCAGACUCUCCCCCUUCUGAAGUGGACCAUGGUUUAAGCUGUGGUGGGUUCUGGACGGGCUCAGCCUCCCUCAGUUCUGAUGGAAACUACAGCUGAGCGAAUAUCUGCAGACUUCAGCGCCUUCGCCCGCUCUAACUGCAGUAGAUGCAGCUGUUCAGGUCCCAGCGACCGCUCGUCCUGACUGUUCUCAUGACUCAAACAGACCGGAUCCUGUUCCUCGUUUCAGGGGGAGUCACCAGGAGUCAGCGUCCCCUCAGGCAUCGCCCCGAGAACAGAGAAGUAAAGGAGGGUUCAACCCUGAGCAUUCAGAUCUGUCACGUCUGCGUCACAGGAUGCAGACAGUCAUUAAAAUCAAAGUGCUGAGAGCCGAACAUGCUUUACAUUGAAGUCAAACACAAGCCAUUCAGCAUCAGGAGGGAGCCUUUCCAUUGUUCCGUCACGUUUGCAGUGGGUCCGAAGGCUGAGAACCCGUCAGAACCAUGAAGUGAAC